GGCCGGUCCAAAAGUAGUGAAUUAUUUCAAUCAAUUGUUCACAGUUACAGAUCCAACUCUUUGUUCUUCUCUUUUCCCCCUUCUCACUACUGCACUUCACUAGUCAAAA
This is an unclassified non-coding RNA of Chlorocebus sabaeus (green monkey), 109 nucleotides long. It matches the Rfam family "Y RNA". Rfam says of the family: Y RNAs are components of the Ro ribonucleoprotein particle (Ro RNP), in association with Ro60 and La proteins. The Y RNAs and Ro60 and La proteins are well conserved, but the function of the Ro RNP is not known. The record is from Ensembl. NCBI's taxonomy places the organism in Eukaryota, Metazoa, Chordata, Mammalia, Primates, Cercopithecidae.